CCUACGGGAGGCUGCAGUGGGGAAUAUUGCACAAUGGAGGAAACCCUGAUGCAGCGACGCCGCGUGAGUGAAGAAGUCUUUCGGUAUGUAAAGCUCUAUCAGCAGGGGAGAAAAAAGACGCUACCUGACUACGAAGCCCCGGCUACCUACGUGCCAGCAGCCGCGGUAAUCGGGAGGGGGCACGCGUUAUCCGGAUUUACUGGGUGUAAAGGGAGCGUAGACGGGGCGGCAAGUCAGAAGUGAAAGGUUGGGGCUUAACCCCGGAACUGCUUUUGAAACUGGCAGGCUAGAGUGCAGGCGAGGUAAGUGGAAUUCCUAGUGUAGCGGUGAAAUGCGUAGAUAUUAGGAGGAACACCAGUGGCGAAGGCGAGUUACUGGAGAGUAACUGACGUUGAGGCUCGAAAGCGUGGGGAGCAAACAGGAUUAGAUACCCUUGUAGUC
Molecule: ribosomal RNA, 441 nt
Filed under: uncultured bacterium
Lineage: Bacteria
Description: partial 16S ribosomal RNA
Rfam family: Bacterial small subunit ribosomal RNA
Source: RNAcentral